GUAUUGUUCAAGUAACUGCCUUUUCUUAUCAACUGAGAGUUCAUUUUUGGAUUUGGAAGAGACUGUGAUAAUGAACGGCCGGCGACGAUUGGUGGCUGUGAAAGGAUAUCCGACGAGAGCAGGAUUGAAGCUAAGCAAACUGGUCUCCGGAACGAUUGAGUGAGACCGAAGAGGUGAGAGAAAAGAAAAUGCAGUGUGUGAGGAUGAAACCGCCAUUUGUGUAAAACCCCAAUUGCAAAAAGCAAAAUUUGGUUGAAGUGAUUUUAAGCCUUGUUCA
RNAcentral lists this unclassified non-coding RNA (277 nucleotides) under Hevea brasiliensis (rubber tree). The record is from RNAcentral. Lineage: Eukaryota; Viridiplantae; Streptophyta; Magnoliopsida; Malpighiales; Euphorbiaceae.